GGGGGCGUAUGGAUUCGACGGGGGUUAUGAGGCUUAGGCAGCAUGUCGUGUUUCCGCGGUCACGUAAAAAAGCGGAAAAACUUACAAAAGCCAACGACGAACUGGCACUUGCCGCUUAAAUAAAGCGGCACGCAACCCCGGAGAGGUCUGCUAUCUGUGGGUAUGCGUCAUAAAGCGGGCUGGCGUCUGAUGAGGUCCCUGCAUCGGACGUAAGAUCAAAGGGAAUACGGGUACGGUGAGCCUGUCUGUUGGCGCUUAAGUACCCGAGAACUAAAAGACAGACUAAGCAUGUAGCGGCUUAAGAGUAGUACUUUCGGACGCGGGUUCGAUUCCCGCCGCCUCCACCA
RNAcentral lists this transfer-messenger RNA (347 nucleotides) under Nitrospirota bacterium. RNAcentral describes it as "Nitrospirae bacterium (sediment metagenome) transfer-messenger RNA". It matches the Rfam family "transfer-messenger RNA". Rfam says of the family: Bacterial tmRNA, also known as 10Sa RNA or SsrA, is named for its dual tRNA and mRNA-like properties. Its role is to liberate the mRNA from a stalled ribosome. Lineage: Bacteria; Pseudomonadati; Nitrospirota. RNAcentral also lists the same sequence under 1 other name. The record is from RNAcentral.